RNAcentral lists this small nucleolar RNA (112 nucleotides) under Chlorocebus sabaeus (green monkey). RNAcentral's name for it is "Small nucleolar RNA U13". It matches the Rfam family "Small nucleolar RNA U13". Lineage: Eukaryota; Metazoa; Chordata; Mammalia; Primates; Cercopithecidae. The record is from Rfam by way of RNAcentral.
AUCCUUUUGUAGUUCAUGAACAUGAUGAUUGGAUGUUCAUGCACAUGUGUGAGAUGUGCCACCCUCUGAAUCUUGUUAUGACAUCAGCCAUCAGCACAUUAUCCAUCUGACC